UACGAAGGGGGCUAGCGUUGCUCGGAAUUACUGGGCGUAAAGGGCGCGUAGGCGGACAGUUUAGUCAGAGGUGAAAGCCCAGGGCUCAACCUUGGAAUUGCCUUUGAUACUGACUGUCUUGAGUUCGGGAGAGGUGAGUGGAAUGCCGAGUGUAGAGGUGAAAUGCGCAGAUAUCGGGAGGAACACCUAUGGCGAAGGCAGCUCGCUGGGACGUUACUGACGCUGAGGAGCGAAAGCGUGGGGAGCGAACAGG
Molecule: ribosomal RNA, 253 nt
Filed under: uncultured bacterium
Lineage: Bacteria
Description: partial 16S ribosomal RNA
Rfam family: Bacterial small subunit ribosomal RNA
Source: RNAcentral